Molecule: ribosomal RNA, 735 nt
Filed under: uncultured Fusobacterium sp.
Lineage: Bacteria; Fusobacteriati; Fusobacteriota; Fusobacteriia; Fusobacteriales; Fusobacteriaceae
Description: bacterial SSU rRNA
Rfam family: Bacterial small subunit ribosomal RNA
Source: RNAcentral
GAUGAACGCUGACAGAAUGCUUAACACAUGCAAGUCAACUUGAAUUUGGGUUUUUAACUUAGAUUUGGGUGGCGGACGGGUGAGUAACGCGUAAAGAACUUGCCUCACAGUUAGGGACAACAUUUAGAAAUGAAUGCUAAUACCUGAUAUUAUGAUUUUAAGGCAUCUUAGAAUUAUGAAAGCUAUAAGCACUGUGAGAGAGCUUUGCGUCCCAUUAGCUAGUUGGAGAGGUAACAGCUCACCAAGGCGAUGAUGGGUAGCCGGCCUGAGAGGGUGAACGGCCACAAGGGGACUGAGACACGGCCCUUACUCCUACGGGAGGCAGCAGUGGGGAAUAUUGGACAAUGGACCGAGAGUCUGAUCCAGCAAUUCUGGGUGCACGAUGAAGUUUUUCGGAAUGUAAAGUGCUUUCAGUUGGGAAGAAGGAAAUGACGGUACCAACAGAAGAAGUGACGGCUAAAUACGUGCCAGCAGCCGCGGUAAUACGUAUGUCACGAGCGUUAUCCGGAUUUAUUGGGCGUAAAGCGCGUCUAGGUGGUUAUGUAAGUCUGAUGUGAAAAUGCAGGGCUCAACUCUGUAUUGCGUUGGAAACUGUAUAACUAGAGUACUGGAAAGGUAAGCGGAACUACAAGUGUAGAGGUGAAAUUCGUAGAUAUUUGUAGGAAUGCCGAUGGGGAAGCCAGCUUACUGGACAGAUACUGACGCUAAAGCGCGAAAGCGUGGGUAGCAAACAGG